Perca flavescens (yellow perch) is the source of this 343-nucleotide long non-coding RNA. RefSeq lists it as uncharacterized. NCBI's taxonomy places the organism in Eukaryota, Metazoa, Chordata, Actinopteri, Perciformes, Percidae. The transcript is spliced from 4 exons. The record is from RefSeq and is a predicted model, not a curated record.
AAAAAGAAGAAAGACACAGGAGGAGAAGGAAAUGCAGACAAUCCCCAACAGAACUCCAUAAACAGUAAUCAUCCACAUGAAGAAGAAGAAGAAGAAGAAGAAGAAGAAGAAGAAGAAGAAGAAGAAGAAGAAGAAGAAGAGCUGGGUGGGAGUGUGAAAAUUGAACACAGAGACAGUUCAUCGGACACUGCAGAGGAAAGUUCCAGGUUCAAUGGAUGCUGACACAUUGUAAGUUGUACAGAAAUGAAUCAGUCCAAGGUGAAUUUUGGGGACUGUGCUCCAAAGUGAACAUCUGCUGAUCUGCAGCCUGCAUCACUAUCUUCCAGAGAUGUUACUGGACAGA